RNAcentral lists this long non-coding RNA (498 nucleotides) under Salvia miltiorrhiza (redroot sage). RNAcentral describes it as "long non-coding RNA (SMIL_LNC005775)". The record is from RNAcentral. Lineage: Eukaryota; Viridiplantae; Streptophyta; Magnoliopsida; Lamiales; Lamiaceae.
AGAUGCUCUCAUUCAGCUAAUCUGUCCAAAAUUUUGGCAAUUAAGAUAAAAGCAAACAAAAAGCAGGAAUUACAUCUAUGAAGACCGAAGAUGUUCCAAAAUUGUGGCAAUUAAAAUAGAAAGAAAGAAAGAAAAAAGAAAGGCAGAAAUAAUUUAGGCCUCACCAGCUUUAUCCCUAACAUCGUUAUCCUCUUUGAUAGAUGACGCCAGAAAAGAGUGUCCUCGAAUAGAAUAAGGCAAGAAAAGUCCUUAAAGUGAGUAGAAAAAGGACACUAAAAAUAAUUGGAAAAUGUGCCAAAUCACUCCACUACACAUGGAGAUCGCCCAUAUCCCACACAUAUUAUACAUACCAUGCUUACAAGGCUUUGAGUUGAGUGGAUUAACACCAUCUCAUUUCUUCAAUCCUCUUCACUUUUCUGCCCUGAGAAAAUAGGAGAAAUUUCUUAGGGGCUCCCAAGAUUUCAGCUUUAACACCAAGAGAAAAACUGUUUUUGAAGU